Molecule: small RNA, 2854 nt
Filed under: Pongo abelii (Sumatran orangutan)
Lineage: Eukaryota; Metazoa; Chordata; Mammalia; Primates; Hominidae
Description: retained intron
Source: RNAcentral
UGUAAGAACCUAGCGCUGCUCGACCUCCCCUCCCGCCCCCCGUCAGCCAGGUCUCUGUGGCUUUUGCUUGUCUCCCUCCUGUCGUGCCUUCACCUCCGUCCUCCGUGUUUGUUGUCCCCCUUCAGGCACGGUAGCUAACGACACGGGUUCUCUGAGGUCCCGGCAGCUUGGACAUCCUCCCAGUCUCUGACUCCUUUCCGUUUUCUCCUCUCCCUCCUCUCCUGCGUUCUUUCUCUCCUCUUCUCUCUCUUACCCCGUUCUGUCUUCCUUCUCCAUUUCUCCCACCAUCCUGCGGCACUCCCCCAAGUCCUCCUGAGCUCGUGAACCUUCCUCUUAAGCUGGUGCCUCUAGGGGGCCCCUCCAUUCCUGCCUUCUCACUCUGCCUCCUGCUUCUCACCACCUUCGGUGUUGCCUGAAGAUUUGCUGAAAGUAGUUCUUGGGGCCCUGCCAGGCACCUGGCUCAGAGCCCAGCAGAGAUGCCAAAGCUUUAGGGCUUCACAUUGCAGGCUGGCACAGGUUUGCUGCCCUGCUGCGUGGCAGGGCUGUCCAGAGGCACCCAGGGAUUUAAAGGCAGCCCUUCCUGCACCUUUUCCAUCGUCCUAGAGGAAACUCUCAGCUGCCUCCUCUUGCCUUCCUCUUCCUGGGCUCCAGUCCCAGUCUGCUCCAAGGCGGGGCAUAUGAUACCAGCCAGUUGGGUUUCUGGGUGUUGUGCGGCCCUGCCCCUCUUUGCCCGGCACCUUGGCCGGCUCCUUCUGCCAGGUGUCGUUAAUUGCUCUGCCUUCGUCAUCGUCACAGGGCCUUCAAGGAGAGCGAGGCCUCACGGGCCUGACUGGAGACAAGGGGGAGCCGGGUCCUCCAGGGCAACCAGGUUACCCAGGUGCCACGGGCCCCCCAGGACUGCCUGGCAUCAAGGGGGAGCGUGGCUACACCGGGUCAGCGGGAGAGAAAGGAGAGCCGGGCCCCCCAGGAUCUGAAGGCCUCCCAGGCCCCCCAGGCCCAGCGGGUCCCAGAGGAGAGCGAGGACCCCAAGGUAACUCCGGUGAGAAGGGCGAUCAGGGAUUUCAAGGCCAGCCAGGCUUUCCGGGCCCACCGGGUCCCCCUGGAUUCCCAGGCAAAGUUGGAGCACCUGGUCCACCUGGCCCUCAAGCAGAGAAGGGCAGCGAAGGGAUUCGAGGCCCAUCAGGCCUGCCUGGUUCCCCUGGGCCACCGGGACCUCCUGGGAUUCAGGGCCCCGCCGGUCUGGAUGGUUUGGAUGGGAAGGAUGGCAAGCCUGGCUUGAGGGGGGACCCUGGUCCUGCUGGCCCCCCUGGACUCAUGGGACCACCGGGCUUUAAGGGAAAAACAGGACAUCCUGGCCUCCCAGGACCUAAGGGUGACUGUGGCAAACCAGGUCCCCCUGGCAGCACUGGCCGGCCUGGCGCAGAGGGUGAACCUGGUGCCAUGGGACCCCAGGGAAGACCCGGUCCCCCCGGCCACGUUGGGCCACCAGGGCCUCCAGGCCAGCCAGGACCAGCUGGGAUCUCUGCAGUGGGUCUGAAAGGAGACCGAGGAGCCACAGGAGAAAGGGGCCUUGCAGGCCUCCCAGGCCAGCCCGGCCCCCCUGGACACCCUGGCCCCCCGGGCGAACCUGGUACGGAUGGUGCAGCUGGCAAAGAGGGACCCCCUGGAAAGCAGGGAUUCUAUGGACCUCCUGGUCCCAAGGUGAGUGGGCACUGGCUGGGCUUGAGAGGAGAAGCUCACAAGUGGAUGAAGCCCAGCUGCAAGUUAUAGCUUUAGCCACAGAGAGGAGACACAGGAAGGCCAGUGGGCAGGGGAAAAAAAUGCAGAACUUGGAGCAGGAUAGUGUCUGAAAAUUUCUCACAUGGGGUCAUUAGCUGUGGUUGGGGGGAAGGAAAUCUCCAGUUCAUUUACUCACUGAUUGACUGAUUGAUUCAUUCAUUGUUUCCAUUUCCCGAGCACUCCCUUGCUCCUGCUCACACUCCAGGCCCUUGUCCUGGCCUCAGGGUGAUCCAGGAGCUGCAGGACAGAAGGGCCAGGCAGGAGAGAAGGGGAGAGCCGGCAUGCCUGGUGGACCUGGCAAGAGUGGUUCCAUGGGGCCUGUUGGGCCACCGGGCCCUGCAGGAGAGAGAGGCCACCCUGGAGCUCCAGGGCCUUCGGGGAGCCCUGGCUUGCCUGGUGUGCCUGGCUCCAUGGGAGACAUGGUGAAUUAUGAUGAAAUCAAGAGGUUCAUCAGACAAGAGAUCAUUAAAAUGUUUGAUGAGAGAAUGGCUUACUACACCUCCAGGAUGCAGUUCCCCAUGGAGAUGGCGGCAGCUCCGGGACGACCAGGGCCUCCAGGGAAGGAUGGUGCUCCGGGCAGGCCAGGCGCUCCAGGGUCACCUGGGCUCCCUGGUCAGAUUGGCAGAGAAGGACGGCAGGGCUUGCCAGGAGUGAGAGGACUGCCUGGUACCAAAGGUGAAAAGGGGGACAUUGGUAUUGGCAUUGCAGGAGAAAAUGGUCUUCCCGGCCCCCCAGGUCCUCAAGGUCCUCCAGGCUAUGGCAAGAUGGGUGCAACAGGACCAAUGGGCCAGCAAGGCAUCCCCGGCAUCCCUGGGCCCCCGGGUCCCAUGGGCCAGCCAGGCAAGGCUGGCCACUGUAACCCCUCUGACUGCUUUGGGGCCAUGCCGAUGGAGCAGCAGUACCCACCCAUGAAAACCAUGAAGGGGCCUUUUGGCUGAAAUUCCCCACCUGCCUUUGGAUGAAGGACUCCGUCGGGAAUAAAUGGCCAAAGCUUAUAGGACUCUGUGACAGGUUGUGAAUGUUUUUGUUGUUGUUGUUGUUUUUAAUUGCUGUUAAUAUUUUUUAAAUAAUAAAG